Molecule: ribosomal RNA, 434 nt
Filed under: uncultured bacterium
Lineage: Bacteria
Description: partial 16S ribosomal RNA
Rfam family: Bacterial small subunit ribosomal RNA
Source: RNAcentral
AGCGAACGCUGGCGGCAGGCCUAACACAUGCAAGUCGAACGAACCUUUCGGGGUUAGUGGCGGACGGGUGAGUAACACGUGGGAACGUGCCUUUAGGUUCGGAAUAACUCAGGGAAACUUGUGCUAAUACCGAAUGUGCCCUUCGGGGGAAAGAUUUAUCGCCUUUAGAGCGGCCCGCGUCUGAUUAGCUAGUUGGUUGAGGUAAUGGCUCACCAAGGCGACGAUCAGUAGCUGGUCUGAGAGGAUGAUCAGCCACAUUGGGACUGAGACACGGCCCAAACUCCUACGGGAGGCAGCAGUGGGGAAUCUUGCGCAAUGGGCGAAAGCCUGACGCAGCCAUGCCGCGUGAAUGAUGAAGGUCUUAGGAUUGUAAAAUUCUUUCACCGGGGACGAUACUGACGGUACCCGGAGAAGAAGCCCCGGCUAACUUCGUG